Molecule: long non-coding RNA, 181 nt
Organism: Daphnia pulicaria
Lineage: Eukaryota; Metazoa; Arthropoda; Branchiopoda; Diplostraca; Daphniidae
Exons: 3
Source: RefSeq, a predicted model, not a curated record
GGUCGUACGUAUGCUUUUUCCAUAGCCUACUUUAUUAUAGGAAGCCCAACGGUUUGGGCUUUUUUUGGAAGCCAAUUUGGGUUCCCUUCCUCUUAUUUGGCUCCGCCCUAAGUGGACCCACGGGAGCCAAUUUAUCGUCUAGUGGCGAUAUUUGAAAACACGAAUUUGUUUACGUUUCUAU